This is a long non-coding RNA of Lagopus muta (rock ptarmigan), 2398 nucleotides long. RefSeq lists it as uncharacterized. Lineage: Eukaryota; Metazoa; Chordata; Aves; Galliformes; Phasianidae. The record is from RefSeq and is a predicted model, not a curated record. The transcript is spliced from 3 exons.
CAGAAACUGCACAUAAAAAAAGAGAAAAACUUUUUGCUCAAAGGCCCAACUGAUCCCAAAACAGAACACACUCAAAGAAGAGUAACACCAAAGCAAGCAACUGCAAAAUACAGCAAGGCCACUCUGACCAUGUGUGCAAAGUACAAAACUUAAAAAAUAAAAUCAGAAAACACAAAAUAAAUGACAAAGAAACAAAAACAAAACAAAGGAAAAAAAGGAAACAAACAAACAAAAAAAGCACUAAUCAAAUUCAAUCCUUACACACCAGACUCAAACUAAGUCUAAUUAACUGCCACAACAUAGUCUCGAAGAGGGGUUGAAAACACCUGUUCCAACAGCUGAGGCCAACUGAGCAUUGACUACAUAAGAGUGGGCUCGAAAGGGCCACGUGUUGUCCUGCUGCUUUCAACAGGUCAUUGAUGAGCAUACUGUGCUGGGUUUUGUUCCUGGUAACCCUCUGUGACUACAUACUUGGUUCUUAAUGCUUUUUUUUUUUUUGGUUUUCCAUUAGUUCAGACUUUUCUGUUGGUUGUUAUUUUUGUUUGCUGUUUUCUUUGCUGUCAUAAUUGUGGUUUAUUUUCUUCUUUGUAGACUUGUGUGUUUUCUUGGUCGUGUAGUUUAUUUGUGUUGUCAUUCUAAUAGGUUUCCAUCUUAGUCUGUUGUUUGACAUAAGUUCAUAUGUGCUGUUGUGACUGGUGACCAUCUUGCAUAUUGGCUUGGGUGUAGUUAUAUUUAGUAUCUUUGGGGGUAUGUAAAUUAUCUCCAUCCACCAUGGAUUUGUGAGAGAUUUUUUGGGACCUAGUUGGCAAAGCAUCCUAUGAAACUAGCUUUUAGAGCUUUAAUGCUGAGGCCUGAUAUAGGUCUGCCUUGAUUCAGGGCCUGUGUAUAUGGAUGACAAUCUUUCUGUGUAUAUUAUACUAUUACACUUUCUGUGUAUAUAUAUUUGUAUUUUAUUUUAGAUUAGUAGUAUUAAUUGUUCCUAUAAGAUAGAGUUCAUUUGCUAUGUUAGGAUGAAUUUGUAUAUUUCAGUAGUUAUCUGCAGGAUCUUUGCUAUAAUGGUUAUUUUGCUGUAGUAAUGGUAGUAUGGUAUCUAUCUUGUUCGUGUGGAAAGAAGAAGCCAGUAGUAACACCAAAACUAGUAGAUAGCGUUACUCCCUUGGUUGCUCCUUGAACCCUGGCCAGGUUUUGGGGGUAAAACCAACAGGAGACAGAGGAAACCAGAUGUUCCGCCUGAUUGUUACGUAGAUUUUUUUGUUCAAUGAUAUGAAGGCUGGACCUGCUUGCAGCGAUGAUGGAGACCUGGACUGCGGGGUGGACGCGCUGCCGUAGGACUUCCCAGUUGCUGGGACGGGUUCUCCAGAUACUCGCUGCAACCAGGGCUCCCCAGCAACUGCGGGUCUGGAUGAUGGUCCAAGUACUAGGGCAAUGAUUGAUAGACUGAAGUCAUAGAAUAGCUCAGGUUGGAAAAAGCCUUAAGUCCAAACACAGCCUAACAGUACUAUCUUAACUUCAACAACCCACCACUAAAUCAUGUCCGUGAGCAUCACAUCCAGAUAGUUGCUAAACACAUCCACGUGCCUUUCUUUAUCACUGUUGCUACCCUCAGACAGUAAAAAUCAGAUGCAUUACUUUGCUUAUUUUUUCUCUCAUUAAGCUUACAAUUUGACUGCAGGUACUGCUUUAUAUUUUCAUUAUUUUGAAAUCGAGGGUAAACUAAGCUUGUCCUUUUGUGACUGUAUCAUUCCUGUUUACCUUGUCAGUUGGCAGAGUAUCUGGUGUCAUAUAGCAGAUUUGAACAAAAUGUCACACUUGAAAUUUAAACAGAAUGUAUUUCCUCCAUCUGAGUUUCCUGGGUGGGAGCGUGUUUCAUAUAGUUCACUGGUUCUUGAUCUGUUUGAACUAUGUGCGCAUUAGUUGAAAGAAGCCAAACUGAUGGGUGUGUUAAACUUUGUUCAAAAAUAAAAAGCCCAUUGAUAAAGAAUAAGUAAUUGGGGUCUUGGGAAGACAAAGAUGGAUCUUGUUAACAGCCUAUCAGAACCAGCACCAAUAGGAAGAGCAAUUGUUGCCAGGAUGUUCUCAUAUGCAGGAAACGAGUGUGUGAACUACAGAACCAGAUUGUGAUGUUGCAGUGUUGAAAUAAAGUGCAUGUUGAUAAGCUGGGAACUUAUCUGAAUGUAGCUGCAAAGGCUGCCUUUCAGGUCGUGCAGAAUAACAAGACAAAAGAACGAAUGAAUCUUCAGGAAGUGGAUUUGGCGGUUGCAGAAGCAGGUGCUGGUAGAGAGCUCUGCUCUUCGACGAGGCCGGACACGAGUGCCUGCCAAUAAGGACUUGGACUUGCUCUUUCUCCUCCCAUUUUUGUUUGUUUGAUUUACUAUUUCUAAUUAUUCUGUAUUAUAUC